UUGACAUGUCUGGAAUCCUGUAGAGAUACGGGAGUGCCUUCGGGAAUCAGAACACAGGUGCUGCAUGGCUGUCGUCAGCUCGUGCCGUGAGAUGUUGGGUUAAGUCCGCAACGAGCGCAACCCUUGUCCUUAGUUGCCAGCACGUAAUGGUGGGAACUCUAAGGAGACUGCCGGUGACAAACCGGAGGAAGGUGGGGAUGACGUCAAGUCAUCAUGGCCCUUACGGCCAGGGCUACACACGUACUACAAUGGUCGGUACAGAGGGUUGCAAUACCGCGAGGUGGAGCCAAUCCCAGAAAGCCGAUCCCAGUCCGGAUCGAAGUCUGCAACUCGACUUCGUGAAGUCGGAAUCGCUAGUAAUCGCGGAUCAGCUAUGCCGCGGUGAAUACGUUCCCGGGCCUUGUACACACCGCCCGUCACACCAUGGGAGUGAGCUGCUCCAGAAGCCGUUAGUCUAACCGCAAGGGGGACGACGACCACGGAGUGGUUCAUGACUGGGGUGAAGUCGUAACAAGGUAGGCGUAGACGU
RNAcentral lists this ribosomal RNA (529 nucleotides) under uncultured bacterium. RNAcentral's name for it is "bacterial SSU rRNA". It matches the Rfam family "Bacterial small subunit ribosomal RNA", at positions 981 to 1509 of the family's 1533-position model. The record is from RNAcentral.